GAUGAACGCUGGCGGCGUGCUUAACACAUGCAAGUCGAACGGGAUCCAUCGGGCUUUGCCUGGUGGUGAGAGUGGCGAACGGGUGAGUAAUGCGUGACCGACCUGCCCCAUGCACCGGAAUAGCUCCUGGAAACGGGUGGUAAUGCCGGAUGCUCCAUCACACCGCAUGGUGUGUUGGGAAAGCCUUUGCGGCAUGGGAUGGGGUCGCGUCCUAUCAGCUUGAUGGCGGGGUAACGGCCCACCAUGGCUUCGACGGGUAGCCGGCCUGAGAGGGCGACCGGCCACAUUGGGACUGAGAUACGGCCCAGACUCCUACGGGAGGCAGCAGUGGGGAAUAUUGCACAAUGGGCGCAAGCCUGAUGCAGCGACGCCGCGUGAGGGAUGGAGGCCUUCGGGUUGUAAACCUCUUUUGUUAGGGAGCAAGGCACUUUGUGUUGAGUGUACCUUUCGAAUAAGCACCG
RNAcentral lists this ribosomal RNA (461 nucleotides) under uncultured bacterium. Its description in RNAcentral is "bacterial SSU rRNA". It matches the Rfam family "Bacterial small subunit ribosomal RNA", at positions 28 to 495 of the family's 1533-position model. The record is from RNAcentral.